This 319-nucleotide long non-coding RNA is filed under the name Mytilus galloprovincialis (Mediterranean mussel). Lineage: Eukaryota; Metazoa; Mollusca; Bivalvia; Mytilida; Mytilidae. The record is from RNAcentral.
CCAUAACAUGACUUUGCCGUCACAUUUGAUUGUAAAUUAUCCAGUAGUUUUAUGCAGCAAAAUUCCUUUAAAUGCAUAUGGAGUUUAUAUUUUUAAAGUAUAUCAUACAGCAGAACUUGCGUUUUCUUUUUAGAAUUGGUUGAUAGGGGAUUGCUACUUACAAGAUAGCUCCCGAAUCAAGGGCUAUUACAAUAGAGUUGAAGGGAUCUUCGAAUGUUUUACGGAAGCGAUCACGACUUAAUUGAUUGUUACAUGAUUUCUGUCACCGGUGACUAUGCCAUUUUUACAUUUGUCGUACCUAAAAUGAAAGCCAUUUGAC